AUUCUACUGAGGAAUUCCAACCUGGAGAGAAGCUCCUCCCAUUGGCCCUCCUCCGCAUCCCACAGAGGAAGUCUGGGGAUGCUGUGGAGAUGCUGGGCUGGGGUUGGAAGUCAGAGGCUGAUGGGAGCAGGUCAGAUUUCCCGUGCAGCCUGAAUGGAGUCACAGGGACGUGUCCCUGCCUUGGAUCCAGGAGGUGGAGAAUCCAGGGAUACUCUGUCCUGGACACGUCAGAAGCUGGGGUUGAGGUGGCCCUCGCGUCAAAGGACCUGCAGCUCCUGCAGCUUUGCCUGUGUGGAGAGGAGGGGCUAAGGGACCAUGAUCACCCAGGGAAGUGGGCAGAGCCCGAGGCCAGACUUCACUCCGGAGGUCCGGCGCCUGGAAGCCAGCACCUGGCCAGCGUGGCACGAGGAGCCUAGUGCCUCUUCACUGCUGUCUGUGGGAGGGAAGAGCAGGAUGAGGAUGUGCCCACCCCAGCCCCCAGCCCAGCUCCCAACUCCAGCCCAGCACCUGUCAG
This is a long non-coding RNA of Pan troglodytes (chimpanzee), 514 nucleotides long. RefSeq lists it as uncharacterized. Lineage: Eukaryota; Metazoa; Chordata; Mammalia; Primates; Hominidae. The transcript has 4 exons. The record is from RefSeq and is a predicted model, not a curated record.